This is a non-coding RNA of Phrynosoma platyrhinos (Desert horned lizard), 72 nucleotides long. Lineage: Eukaryota; Metazoa; Chordata; Lepidosauria; Squamata; Phrynosomatidae. The record is from the annotation of a GenBank genome assembly.
GUCAAUGUGGUACAGUGGUUUGCAUACUGUACUAGGAAUCUGGAGAUCAGGUUUCAAAUCCCUGCUUGGACA